AGUGAACGCUGGCGGUAGGCCUAACACAUGCAAGUCGAACGGCAGCACAGAGGAGCUUGCUCCUUGGGUGGCGAGUGGCGGACGGGUGAGGAAUACAUCGGAAUCUACUCUGUCGUGGGGGAUAACGUAGGGAAACUUACGCUAAUACCGCAUACGACCUACGGGUGAAAGCAGGGGAUCUUCGGACCUUGCGCGAUUGAAUGAGCCGAUGUCGGAUUAGCUAGUUGGCGGGGUAAAGGCCCACCAAGGCGACGAUCCGUAGCUGGUCUGAGAGGAUAAUCAGCCACACUGGAACUGAGACACGGGCCAAACUCCUACGGGAGGCAGCAGUGGGGAAUAUUGGACAAUGGGCGCAAGCCUGAUCCAGCCAUACCGCGUGGGUGAAGAAGGCCUUCGGGUUGUAAAGCCCUUUUGUUGGGAAAGAAAUCCAUCUGGUUAAUACCCGGGUGGGAUGACGGUACCCAAAGAAUAAGCACCGGCUAACUUCGUGCCAGCAGCCGCCGUAA
Molecule: ribosomal RNA, 506 nt
Filed under: uncultured bacterium
Lineage: Bacteria
Description: partial 16S ribosomal RNA
Rfam family: Bacterial small subunit ribosomal RNA
Source: RNAcentral